AACGAACGCUGGCGGCAUGCCUAACACAUGCAAGUCGAACGAAGCCUUCGGGCUUAGUGGCGCACGGGUGCGUAACGCGUGUGAAUCUACCCUUGGGUUCGGAAUAACAGUUAGAAAUGACUGCUAAUACCGGAUGAUGACGUAAGUCCAAAGAUUUAUCGCCCAAGGAAGAGCCCGCGUAAGAUUAGCUUUUUGGUGGGGUAAUGGCCUACAAAGGCGACGAUCCUUAGCUGGUCAUGGAGGCUGAUCAGCCACACUGGGACGGAGACACGGCCCAGACUCCUACGGGAGGCAGCAAUGGGGAAUAUUGGAAAAUGGGCGAAAGCCUGAUCCAGCAAUGCCGCGUGAGUUAUGAAGGCCUUAGGGUUGUAAAGCUCUUUUACCAGGGAUGAUAAUGACAGUACCUGGAGAAUAAGCUCCGGCUAACUCCGUGCCAGCAGCCGCCGUAA
This 449-nucleotide ribosomal RNA is filed under the name uncultured bacterium. RNAcentral describes it as "partial 16S ribosomal RNA". It matches the Rfam family "Bacterial small subunit ribosomal RNA", at positions 29 to 523 of the family's 1533-position model. The record is from RNAcentral.